GACGAACGCUGGCGGCGUGCCUAAUACAUGCAAGUAGAACGCUGAAGAGAGGAGCUUGCUCUUCUUGGAUGAGUUGCGAACGGGUGAGUAACGCGUAGGUAACCUGCCUUGUAGCGGGGGAUAACUAUUGGAAACGAUAGCUAAUACCGCAUCACAAUGGAUGACCCAUGUCAUUUAUUUGAAAGGGGCAAAUGCUCCACUACAAGAUGGACCUGCGUUGUAUUAGCUAGUAGGUGAGGUAACGGCUCACCUAGGCGACGAUACAUAGCCGACCUGAGAGGGUGAUCGGCCACACUGGGACUGAGACACGGCCCAGACUCCUACGGGAGGCAGCAGUAGGGAAUCUUCGGCAAUGGGGGCAACCCUGACCGAGCAACGCCGCGUGAGUGAAGAAGGUUUUCGGAUCGUAAAGCUCUGCUGUAAGUCAAGAACGAGUGUGAGAGUGGAAAGUUCACACUGUGACGGUAGCUCUACCAGAAA
This 480-nucleotide ribosomal RNA is filed under the name Streptococcus salivarius. RNAcentral describes it as "bacterial SSU rRNA". It matches the Rfam family "Bacterial small subunit ribosomal RNA", at positions 28 to 489 of the family's 1533-position model. The record is from RNAcentral. Lineage: Bacteria; Bacillati; Bacillota; Bacilli; Lactobacillales; Streptococcaceae.